This 224-nucleotide ribosomal RNA is filed under the name uncultured prokaryote. RNAcentral's name for it is "partial 16S ribosomal RNA". It matches the Rfam family "Bacterial small subunit ribosomal RNA", at positions 525 to 747 of the family's 1533-position model. The record is from RNAcentral.
ACGGGGGGAGCAAGCGUUGUUCGGAUUUACUGGGCGUAAAGGGCGCGUAGGCGGCCUCCGCAAGUCAGUUGUGAAAUCUCCGAGCUUAACUCGGAAAGGUCAACUGAUACUGCGGGGCUAGAGUGCGGAAGGGGCAACUGGAAUUCUUGGUGUAGCGGGGAAAUGCGUAGAUAUCAGGAGGAAAACCUGUGGUGUAGACGGCUCUCUGGACCGAGACUGACGCU